CCAGAUUCCUAGACUUGGAGCUCUGCCAACAUCCACGUGUGACCAUUCUCUAGAGUUCUAUGAUUCUUCUAAUAUGGCAAGACUUCUACUUUCAUGUAUUCUCAAACUCUCCCAAUGCUGAAGUGUUCCUGCCUGUUCCAGACUUUUUUUUUCCUCUCACAUACUCAAUUUCACUUGAAAUUCAUCCCACUUUAGUAUAUAGACAGAUAUGUUGUGCAUUGACUCACUAGCAUAGUUUUUCUACCACCAGGUGGAGAGAGUUGGUGAAAUGGGAUAGCAGAUCUUUAAGCAAUUUACUAGGCAGCUGCAUAUGUUGGCGUGAUUGAUGAGAGCCGCCACAGUCAAGCAAGCAGCCCUGGGCGGCCAGUUUACCCUUCCCUGCUAGGGUUUCAGCUGCCAGUUGCCCCCAUUCUGUGACAGCUUCUCCUUCUCCUCACCUUGUCAUCAAGCCAAGAUUGUACACUGUGGGAGUACAGGUAGAGUGAUGGCUCCAUCAAUCAAAUACACCCACCAUGAAUUUUCACUUGUGAAUUAAUAAUAAAGAGAAAGAUGAUUGUAA
Molecule: long non-coding RNA, 559 nt
Filed under: Bos taurus (domestic cattle)
Lineage: Eukaryota; Metazoa; Chordata; Mammalia; Artiodactyla; Bovidae
Description: long non-coding RNA NONBTAT004103
Source: RNAcentral